UGAGAAUGACAAGGGGAAGAGUCUUGACAUUUUAACUAAAUAUUUUCAAGGAUCUGUGACAGGGACCAAUGUUUUGCGUGUCCAUCACAAGAGCAGUGGCUCAAAUCCCAAUUAAACUACAUGUGUGAGGCGGGCAAUAGAGCAUGUAAGAAAACGUAAUUUUUGUGACUAAUUUUAUAACUACUAAAAGUGCUACAAAACACCCGAUCACAAAGGCCAGUGGCCUGGCUGCUGUUUCCAGGACACUGGAAUGGCCCCAGGGUCUCCGUCCUGGGCUGUAGAGUACCAUUACCUGGGCAGACUUGCGACCCCACCCCCAGAUUCUGACCCAGCCGGCCUGCUGCCUGGACUCAGGGUUUUUCCCACUGUCCCUGUAUGUGACUCAGACCAUGCAGCCGAGCUUCAGAGCCAUUGCUGCAGUGACGCGUCAGUCACCUGGCAGCUCUGCCCACAGUCAGAGCACUGAUGGAGGCCAGAAGGAAUCGCGGGAACUGCAUUUGGAAAGACUGCAGGUGACCUGAUGAAUAGCCAAGGGUGACAACCUCCACAUGAAAGCUGACCUGGUCAGGGUCCUCGGCAGCUUGUCACACUGUACUUAAUCUGUGUAGCGAGCGAUCUGCUCGUCUGCCUCUCAUGGGCGGGAAAGCUCCACGAGAGCGGCAGGUGUGUCUGUCUGCUCACCACUCGUGUCUGCACAGCACCCGCCACACGACAGGCGCCCAACAAACAGCCCUCAAGUAAAAAGUGAACCUCAUAACUCAAAGUUGUAAAGGCAUUUCUGUAGGCAAAAAAACUCCUGUUCGCCUGGAUUUUUGUUUUACUGAAAUUCAGCUUUUUUCUCCACGCUAAUGUGAAAUGCAACCCCCAAAUCCACAGUCUAUCAGAAGUGCUGCAUCUUAUUUUAAACUAAGAUCUAACUUGUUAAAAGCAUGGACAUAAAUACCCCAAGACUUUAGAAAACGAGUUUUUACAGAAUAACUGGUGGUAGGAGCUCUGCAACCUGCGUGUUAGGUUCCCUUGCUGUGACAUCUAACUGCUCAUAGACCUUCGCAUGCUGUUCGUUCACCUGCCGCAGAAGCUCCACCUGCUUGCUCAGAAUCUCGGAUACACAGCCUCCAAUGAAUCUGACUGGACUGCCAACAUCCUAAAAUUCACGUGCCAAAAAGACUACGUGUACAAAAGUAUCUGCCAUUUCAAAUGGGGAAAGGGAGAGAUGUAAGCAAAACAGUGGGAGAAGGAGACUAUGACGUAGCAAAAAUACAGGCCAAAGUGUCCACUUACAUGCCAGAGCACCAAAGUGUACGUGCCGGGAAGCUGCGUCUCGUACGAGAUGUCUCGUACGCCUGGGAACGUGCACAGAACGUCACCUCAGCCAUGAGCACAAGGUUCAGGUUCGCUUAGAAGCUACAAACAGGCCACCUUUAUACCUGAGGCAAACGUUUGAGAAAGAAAGGCCAGCAGGACGAUAUGAAAACCUAUUUGCAACAGAGCCGUGACCGCAUGCAGGAAAAGAUGAACACAACCCCAACUAAAAAAUGCCUUCAGAAUGGAAUGGAAAUUUGGCUUUUAUGCAGUGCUGGGAUUAUCCUUAGAUUAAGGAUUAAGCCCCAGUCCUCUGAAUUCAGUAUCCAAAUGACCUUCCACAAUCCUGAAGAAAUAUUUCCUAUUACCUUUGAAAAACCUCUUUACCCUGAUGAAAAUACUGUAUUCCCUCAGGAGAAAAUUUAGGGGGAAACAAGCACGAAUGUGAAAAUAAAAACCACCUCUGAUCUCACUAUGAAAAGCUUGGCUUGUUUUUAUGAUUUAUUUUCCAGUAAUUGAAAAGAACUUAUUUUUUUCAGAAUUAAGAUUCUUUUAUUACUGAAAUUUGUCAAACGAGGAUAAACUGUACAAUGGCUUACACUUUUAAAAUACGCGCUUCCGUACUCUCC
Long non-coding RNA from Rhinolophus ferrumequinum (greater horseshoe bat), 1931 nucleotides. RefSeq lists it as uncharacterized. The record is from RefSeq and is a predicted model, not a curated record. Lineage: Eukaryota; Metazoa; Chordata; Mammalia; Chiroptera; Rhinolophidae. The transcript has 3 exons.